CGCCUCUUGUAAUCAUAAGAGGUCCAGCCUGCCCAGUGAUUUAUUCAACGGCCGCGGUAUUCUAACCGUGCAAAGGUAGCGUAAUCACUUGUUUUCCAAAUAAAGACCAGUAUGAAAGGCAUCACGAGGACUCAGCUGUCUCCUUUCUCCAAUCAGUGAACCUAACCUCCCCGUGAAGAAACGGGGAUCCCAUUAUAAGACGAGAAGACCCCGUGGAGCUUAAAACAACAUAACAAUUGCUUCAUCUUUAACCACCCCGAUGAUUACCCAUGCAGCAUCCUGAUUAUAUGUUUUUGGUUGGGGUGACCGCGGAGAAAAACUCAUCCUCCAUUAUGAAGGAGACUUCCUACCCUAAACAACAAGUUACAACUUUAUGUAUCAAAAAAUUGACUCUCAUUGACCCAAUAAAUUGAUUAACGAACCAAGUUACCCCGGGGAUAACAGCACAAUCCACUUUGAGAGCCCCUAUCGACAAGUGGGCUUAUGACCUCGAUGUUGGAUCAGGGUAUCCUAGUGGUGCAGCCGCUACUAAAGGUUCGUUUGUUCAACGAUUAAAACCCU
This 561-nucleotide ribosomal RNA is filed under the name Pristimantis saltissimus. RNAcentral describes it as "partial 16S ribosomal RNA". It matches the Rfam family "Bacterial large subunit ribosomal RNA", at positions 1831 to 2597 of the family's 2925-position model. Lineage: Eukaryota; Metazoa; Chordata; Amphibia; Anura; Strabomantidae. The record is from RNAcentral.